Molecule: ribosomal RNA, 19 nt
Filed under: Juniperus virginiana
Lineage: Eukaryota; Viridiplantae; Streptophyta; Pinopsida; Cupressales; Cupressaceae
Description: partial 26S ribosomal RNA
Source: RNAcentral
CGCGUCCCCGCCGCCCCCU